RNAcentral lists this ribosomal RNA (481 nucleotides) under uncultured bacterium. Its description in RNAcentral is "partial 16S ribosomal RNA". It matches the Rfam family "Bacterial small subunit ribosomal RNA", at positions 28 to 507 of the family's 1533-position model. The record is from RNAcentral.
GAUGAACGCUGGCGGCGUGCUUAACACAUGCAAGUCGAACGAAGCAUUUAAGACAGAUUACUUCGGUUUGAGGUCUUUUAUGACUGAGUGGCGGACGGGUGAGUAACGCGUGGGUAACCUGCCUCAUACAGGGGGAUAGCAGCUGGAAACGGCUGGUAAUACCGCAUAAGCGCACAGUACCACAUGGUACAGUGUGAAAAGCUCCGGUGGUAUGAGAUGGACCCGCGUCUGAUUAGCUUGUCGGCGGGGUAACGGCACACCAAGGCGACGAUCAGUAGCCGACAUGGGAGGCGGCCCGGCCGCAAUGGGACUGAGGCACGGACCAGACUCCUACGCGAGGCAGCAGUGGAGAGUAUUACACGAUGGAGGAUGCUCUGAUGCAGCGGCGCGGCGUGAGUGGAGAAGUAGUUCGCAAUGUAAAGCUCUAUGAGCAGGGAAGAUAGUGACGGUACCUGGUAAAGAAGCACCGGCUAAAUACGUG